AUAACACCUGGAAACAGAUGCUAAUACCGGAUAACAACAGAUGAUGCCUAUCAACUGUUUAAAAGAUGGUUCUGCUAUCACUCUUGGAUGGACCUGCGGUGCAUUAGCUAGUUGGUAGGGUAACGGCCUAACAAGGCGAUGAUGCAUAGCCGAGUUGAGAGACUGAUCGGCCACAUUGGGACUGAGACACGGCCCAAACUCCUACGGGAGGCAGCAGCU
Molecule: ribosomal RNA, 219 nt
Filed under: uncultured Lactobacillus sp.
Lineage: Bacteria; Bacillati; Bacillota; Bacilli; Lactobacillales; Lactobacillaceae
Description: partial 16S ribosomal RNA
Rfam family: Bacterial small subunit ribosomal RNA
Source: RNAcentral